This is an RNA transcript of Lineus longissimus, 1231 nucleotides long. RefSeq lists it as uncharacterized. The record is from RefSeq and is a predicted model, not a curated record. NCBI's taxonomy places the organism in Eukaryota, Metazoa, Nemertea, Pilidiophora, Heteronemertea, Lineidae. The transcript is spliced from 3 exons.
ACGGGCAUCAGAGAAGCUAGGAUAGCAGCCAACGCCAUCUAUAAUUGUUCCAAGAAACCAUGAUCCAAUGAAUCGACCGCUAUUUUGAUAUCGUCAUUAUGAUCGCUCCGCCUGUUCGCGUGGUGGCGUGGUGGUCGCGUAGUGCCCGUGGUGGCGUGGUGCAAAUACCGCCUGCCCAUAAUGCUGCCACCUCCGUGCUUCACAGUCGGUACGGUGUUCUUUGGAUUACCCCCCCCCCCGUUUUGCCAAACGUACUGCUGGCUUCUUUCUUGCCCUGCAGCUUCGUAGUCCACUACGAUGCAAGACCUUCUGGACAGUGGACAGUGACACAUUUGUCUCUGUAGCUUCCAAUUCCUGGCAGAGGUGUUUCUUGGUCGUCUCAGGGUUAAUGUGCACCUUUCUAACCAAUGUGGGCUCAUCUUUGGCUGUCAGCUUGCGCUUUCUUCCUGACCUUGGUAAGGUUACUGUUGUCCCUGGGUCCCUGUACUUCCGCUUUAUUGUCUGAACUGACGCCCGUGGCAUAUCAAGCUGCUUGAAAAUGGCUCUUAGUGAAGUACCAGACUGGUUCAAGUGGACAGGCGACUCUAUCAGAUCUUGAGAGUACUCCUUUGACUUCCCCAUGAUGGCUCUAAGCUGGCAAAUGACCUGAGCAGAAACCCAGUCCCUUUUAUACUGCUACAGUGGCGCCACCUGAGCUAUGACAUAAUCAUGAUGGUCAACAGGUAGUGGAGACAAGAUAAAAGCCAUUGCAUUGCCCACCUCAAGGCCAAACAACUAGUAGAUAAGAAAAGAAAAGCCAGCAAGGGAAAAGCAAGCAAGGCGAAGGGAGACUAUUGCGCAGCUGAGAGAAUAGACAACUACGACCCCAAAAACAACACGUAUUACAUAAAGUGGCAAGGAUAUGAUGCGUCCCACAACUCAUGGGUGAAAGCGGAAGACGUAACUUCUCCUCUCAUCUCUUCUUACAAAGAAAAAUUAGGUAAAUCAUGAUUGAAAGGAUUAUGGCUGUGUGCUCUAUGCAGUUGAUGUUGUAGUGGUUGUGAGUCAGGCUGAUGCAGCAGUUUCUUAGAGGUAGUGCCCAAUUCGAACAACUGUAGCUUAUCACAUAAUUAUCGUUUAUCAGAAUUGUGGAGUCAAAAGGAAGGAUUGACAAUCAAUUUAUUGAAAUUCCUUCAGAUGAUACAUUAAAAGAUGUCAUAAAACUCACCUGUCCAUUCAAAAGGCUUUUGUA